AGUGAACGCUGGCGGUAGGCCUAACACAUGCAAGUCGAACGGCAGCACAGUAAGAGCUUGCUCUUACGGGUGGCGAGUGGCGGACGGGUGAGGAAUACAUCGGAAUCUACUUUUUCUUGGGGGAUAACGUAGGGAAACUUACGCUAAUACCGCAUACGACCUACGGGUGAAAGCAGGGGAUCUUCGGACCUUGCGCGAUUGAAUGAUCCGAUGUCGGAUUAGCUAGUUGGCGGGGUAAAGGCCCACCAAGGCGACGAUCCGUAGCUGGUCUGAGAGGAUGAUCAGCCACACUGGAACUGAGACACGGUCCAGACUCCUACGGGAGGCAGCAGUGGGGAAUAUUGGACAAUGGGCGCAAGCCUGAUCCAGCCAUACCGCGUGGGUGAAGAAGGCCUUCGGGUUGUAAAGCCCUUUUGUUGGGAAAGAAAAGCAGCAGGUUAAUACCCCGCUGUUCUGACGGUACCCAAAGAAUAAGCACCGGCUAACUUCGUG
Molecule: ribosomal RNA, 492 nt
Filed under: uncultured bacterium
Lineage: Bacteria
Description: partial 16S ribosomal RNA
Rfam family: Bacterial small subunit ribosomal RNA
Source: RNAcentral